UCUAACUAAGAAACUACCUAACCACGACGAGUCGUCCGUUGAAUGAUAUCGACGCGAAGCAACUGACAAUGUAUCGUGGGUCACUCGCUCACCUAAAAAUUCGGAAGUAGGAAUGUUUCCGGCAAAGCGUUCUCGUUAUCAGUGAAAGUCGACAGUUAUAAACGACCAGUAUGAAGAAUCUGCGAGUUAUUAUGUGGUCAAGAAUGACUACAAGAUUUCGAUGCCUAACAUCAUCGCAAGUUAUUGUCUAGUGACAGUAUUAUUAUUUUUCUGUUAUCUUUAAGACAUACAUGUUAAUAAAAGCUAGAGAAGGGAGAGAUGAUAUCUUAUCGUACA
Molecule: long non-coding RNA, 336 nt
Organism: Nylanderia fulva
Lineage: Eukaryota; Metazoa; Arthropoda; Insecta; Hymenoptera; Formicidae
Source: RefSeq, a predicted model, not a curated record